Molecule: transfer RNA, 59 nt
Filed under: Chrotopterus auritus
Lineage: Eukaryota; Metazoa; Chordata; Mammalia; Chiroptera; Phyllostomidae
Description: tRNA-Ser
Source: RNAcentral
GGAAAAGCAUGCAGGAACUGCUAACUCCCGCCCCCGUGGCUAGCCCCACGGCUUUUCCA